CCUACGGGUGGCAGCAGUAGGGAAUCUUUCACAAUGGGCGAAAGCCUGAUGGAGCAAUGCCGCGUGCAGGAUGAAGGCCCUAGGGUUGGUAACUGCUUUUAUAAGCGAGAAAUAUGAGGGUAACUUAUGCAUAAGGAACGGCUAACAACGUGCCAGCAGCCGCCGUCAUAAGUAGGAGCCGAGCAUUAUCCGGGGUGACUGGGGGGAAAGAGUUGCGUAGGGGGCAUAAUAAGUAGCUAGUGAAAUCUGGUGGCUCAAACAUUCAUACUACUAGCUAAACUGGUAAGCUCGAGACCGUUAGAGGUAACUGGAAUGUGUAGUGUAGCAGUGAAAUCCGUAGAUAUUA
Molecule: ribosomal RNA, 346 nt
Filed under: uncultured bacterium
Lineage: Bacteria
Description: partial 16S ribosomal RNA
Rfam family: Bacterial small subunit ribosomal RNA
Source: RNAcentral